Molecule: ribosomal RNA, 468 nt
Filed under: uncultured bacterium
Lineage: Bacteria
Description: partial 16S ribosomal RNA
Rfam family: Bacterial small subunit ribosomal RNA
Source: RNAcentral
GACGAACGCUGGCGGCGUGCUUAACACAUGCAAGUCGAACGGAAAGGCCCUGCUUUUGUGGGGUGCUCGAGUGGCGAACGGGUGAGUAACACGUGAGUAACCUGCCCUUGACUUUGGGAUAACUUCAGGAAACUGGGGCUAAUACCGGAUAGGAGCUCCUGCUGCAUGGUGGGGGUUGGAAAGUUUCGGCGGUUGGGGAUGGACUCGCGGCUUAUCAGCUUGUUGGUGGGGUAGUGGCUUACCAAGGCUUUGACGGGUAGCCGGCCUGAGAGGGUGACCGGCCACAUUGGGACGGAGAUACGGCCCAGACUCCUACGGGAGGCAGCAGUGGGGAAUAUUGCACAAUGGGCGGAAGCCUGAUGCAGCAACGCCGCGUGCGGGAUGACGGCCUGCGGGUUGUAAACCGCUUUCGCCUGUGACGAAGCGUGAGUGACGGUAAUGGGUAAAGAAGCACCGGCUAACUACGUG